This is a long non-coding RNA of Daktulosphaira vitifoliae (grape phylloxera), 994 nucleotides long. RefSeq lists it as uncharacterized. The transcript has 3 exons. Lineage: Eukaryota; Metazoa; Arthropoda; Insecta; Hemiptera; Phylloxeridae. The record is from RefSeq and is a predicted model, not a curated record.
UAUUAAAUAUAUUUGUAAAAAUGUUAAUAGUUCAAAGUUUAUUAUUGUGGAUAUAUUCUAAUAUUUUUUUAUAAAUAUACUUGUCAUAAAUAAUUAUGGAAACUAAAAUGUUUAUGUAUAAAACCAUUGCUAAGUGGAAAUAUCUCUUUAUUUUUAUAUUUUACACGUGUAUCAUACUUUAUUGGAAUUUAUGAGGAAACAAUCAGAUUAAUUAAAAAUUAAUUUAAAAUUUUCAUCAGAAAUAAGAAAUUAACAAUUAAUUAAUUUUAAUUAUAUGAUUAAAUAGUAUAGCAGUGCUUUAUUAGAAUAUCAUUUUAUUUUCCUUAAAACGUUCUAUUAAGUUUCUUAUUUAUUAAUAUUUAAAUUAAUUUGAAAUAAUUUUUUUAGUUGAUUAAAAAGGCGAAUAAUUUAUUUCUAAUGGUAUUAAAAAGUCAAAAUUAUUUGAAUUUAAACUGGUAAUAUACAGUUAUAAAGCCUUGAGUGAAUUCUUUACUCAAUUUUUGUAGAUGUAAAGUUAAUAUUUGAAAUUAUCAUUGAAAAGUUCAGUAGACAGGGUUUGAAGUUAUCUUUCACUGAAAAAUGUUACUCUUACUUAUUCAUAAACUACUUAACAAAAAUAUACGAGGUUGAUAUGUAUACUACCUAAAAAUAUGAAGAAAUAUUAUCACUCAAUAUUUAUUCUAAUAUCAGUUUUGGAUCAAAAAUUUGCUCUUGUAUCAAAAAUCGACAAACUUCUAAUAACGAAGAUGUUUGAGUAGAAACUUUUGCUAUAAUUUAGAUAUAUUAUUUAAUAGAUAUAAUAAUGAGAUAAAUUACACAAUCAAAAAUAAUCAAGUACUCACUAUCAGUAUUUCUUCCUGUGCUUGUUCGAUAUAAUAAGGAAUUAUAAAAAAUUUCUAUGUAGCAAUUGCAGUUAAUUUUAAUAUCAGAAUAUAAUGGACUACAUUGUUUUAUAAAAUACACUUAAAAUAAUAAAUUAUAUAGCUUAAUUAAA